AUUGGUGGAAUUCCACUCACACAAAUACAAUCACAUUAUCACACAGCUGCACACUCACAUUUUAUCCCUUCACACUAAUUUCAUAACAGAUUUGAUUCCCCACGUCCCACUCAUAUUUUUGGGGAGAUUUCUUGGAGAGCACACUCUAAAUACUUAUAUAAACAUCUAGUACAUAAAUAAAAAAGAGAGGAUUCUAACCUAGAGACCUAUACACUCCAAGAUUAGCAGCCGUAAUUCACAAUCAAGAAACGACCCCUAGGAUCAUCUUCUUCAAGCAGCCAUUUCCAUGGCUGAUCCCUAACCAAACUUAUGACCCCUUUCUCCUUCAGCACAACCUAGCCCCCUUCUAAACUUGAAAGCUUCACGGGCAGCCAUUCCCCUUGAAGAAGAGAGCUCACCCUCAUUUUCAAACAGAAGUUAAAGCCAGCAGCAACCUCCCUUCUACAUCUCCCAAACCACCAGAUAACCCCAUUAAACCAGCUGCGAAAACACAACAAAAUAGACGUUUUACCUCCAUUUUUACUGACAAGGGGAGCUCUCUUUCAGUCGUGUAAGGUCGCUGGAGCUUAAGGAAUUUUCUGGUCUAGUUUCGAGUUGUCCGGCCUCCGGCAAAUGGGUUCUAUUAGAUAUCCGGUCGAUGGUCCUAGUUGUUGUCCUAUUUCUCGAGCACAUAUGGCUUCAGUGAACUUUUCACUGAUUUAUCUUCAAUAAUAAAAAAGAAAAGGUCCCUUCUCUAACUUUCAGAUUAUUGUGUAUAUUUAUGACGUUUUUUUUGUGAAUGUUUAAUCUUAAUUUCUUGCAUCUCUGUUUGUAUGCGUUACACAUGUUUUGGAUCAUUUUCUAUUCAUUUUUUAUGAUAUUGAGU
This 865-nucleotide long non-coding RNA is filed under the name Nicotiana benthamiana. RNAcentral's name for it is "long non-coding RNA (NBEN_LNC030128)". The record is from RNAcentral. Lineage: Eukaryota; Viridiplantae; Streptophyta; Magnoliopsida; Solanales; Solanaceae.